This 726-nucleotide ribosomal RNA is filed under the name Triticum aestivum (bread wheat). RNAcentral's name for it is "partial small subunit ribosomal RNA". The record is from RNAcentral. Lineage: Eukaryota; Viridiplantae; Streptophyta; Magnoliopsida; Poales; Poaceae.
AUGUCUGGGGAAGACCUAUCCUCGACCUUUGAGGUAGAAUCUAGAGGCAGAGGCCAAGAGUCAAUCUCGGCCGAACCUUCCUUUCACAAUGCUCGCCUGGCCUUGAGCCCUUACGACAAAGCGGCAGCUAACAGCCAGGGGUCACCCCCAGCCCAAGGCAACUCGAUCUCGAACCCCGACGGGGGAGCCACAAGCAAGGACGAAAGCCCAUCCUUGACCUCCAGUGACGGCCCUGCACCCCUCAAGGAUUCGUCUCUGCACCCCGAGAUCAGCACGGCCAGUGGAAAUCAAGGACCGGCCAGGGCAUUGAUCGCCCCCCACACCAUUACAAUAGAGUUCGGCUCGGAGCCCUCGAGCUCGGCGACCCUUGCUAGGGUAGACGAGGCGCUAGACCUAAUUCAGAAAAUUACCAUCCAGGAGGACCUGCCCUCUGCCUUCAAUCAUCAAUCCUUCGAGGCGUACGAUAGGGAAUUUUGCGUCCCACCCACCACCCAUUUGGUAACCACUAUCAAUGAUUUAACUGAUAUACUAGACUAUAAUUCAAAGAAUGUCGAAUAUAUGGACGAGGAGGAUGUAGCCAAGGCCAAUGCGGAGGUCGCCCCCACCCCUGAUAUGUCCAUUUUGCAUCAUGCUUUUAUAUCGAUAUUUAUUGCAAUAUGGGCUAUUACUACACAUUAUGUCACAAUACUUAUGCCUUUUCUCUCUUAUUUUACAAGGUUUACAUGA